AGCACAGGUUUACCUGUGUGACUGCGUACCUUUUGUAUAAUGGGUCAGCGACUUAUAUUCUGUAGCAAGGUUAACCGAAUAGGGGAGCCGGAGGGAAACCGAGUCUUAAUUGGGCGUUAAGUUGCAGGGUAUAGACCCGAAACCCGGUGAUCUAGCCAUGGGCAGGUUGAAGGUUGGGUAACACUAACUGGAGGACCGAACCGACUAAUGUUGAAAAAUUAGCGGAUGACCUGUGGCUGGGGGUGAAAGGCCAAUCAAACCGGGAGAUAGCUGGUUCUCCCCGAAAGCUAUUUAGGUAGCGCCUCGUGAAUUCAUCUCCGGGGGUAGAGCACUGUUUCGGCUAGGGGGCCAUCCCGGCUUACCAACCCGAUGCAAACUGCGAAUACCGGAGAAUGUUAUCACGGGAGACACACGGCGGGUGCUAACGUCCGUCGUGAAGAGGGAAACAACCCAGACCGCCAGCUAAGGUCCCAAAGUCAUGGUUAAGUGGGAAACGAUGUGGGAAGGCCCAGACAGCCAGGAUGUUGGCUUAGAAGCAGCCAUCAUUUAAAGAAAGCGUAAUAGCUCACUGGUCGAGUCGGCCUGCGCGGAAGAUGUAACGGGGCUAAACCAUG
This 614-nucleotide ribosomal RNA is filed under the name Salmonella enterica. Its description in RNAcentral is "partial 23S ribosomal RNA". It matches the Rfam family "Bacterial large subunit ribosomal RNA", at positions 578 to 1191 of the family's 2925-position model. The record is from RNAcentral. Lineage: Bacteria; Pseudomonadati; Pseudomonadota; Gammaproteobacteria; Enterobacterales; Enterobacteriaceae.